ACUCAGUGAAAUUGAACUCGCUGUGAAGAUGCAGUGUACCCGCGGCAAGACGGAAAGACCCCGUGAACCUUUACUAUAGCUUGACACUGAACAUUGAGCCUUGAUGUGUAGGAUAGGUGGGAGGCUUUGAAGUGUGGACGCCAGUCUGCAUGGAGCCGACCUUGAAAUACCACCCUUUAAUGUUUGAUGUUCUAACGUGGACCCGUGAUCCGGGUUGCGGACAGUGUCUGGUGGGUAGUUUGACUGGGGCGGUCUCCUCCUAAAGAGUAACGGAGGAGCACGAAGGUUGGCUAAUCCUGGUCGGACAUCAGGAGGUUAGUGCAAUGGCAUAAGC
This 334-nucleotide ribosomal RNA is filed under the name Escherichia coli. Its description in RNAcentral is "bacterial LSU rRNA". It matches the Rfam family "Bacterial large subunit ribosomal RNA", at positions 2031 to 2364 of the family's 2925-position model. RNAcentral also lists the same sequence under 1 other name. Lineage: Bacteria; Pseudomonadati; Pseudomonadota; Gammaproteobacteria; Enterobacterales; Enterobacteriaceae. The record is from RNAcentral.